UAGCCAUGUUGUGGGCAAGCGAGAAGUAGGUCCUUGAACCGUUCCCAACACUCGAAAAAAGUUUCAUCUUUUUUUUUUGGGAGAAGUUCAUUAUGUCUCUUAUGAGAGU
This is a small nucleolar RNA of Magnolia sinica, 109 nucleotides long. The record is from RefSeq and is a predicted model, not a curated record. NCBI's taxonomy places the organism in Eukaryota, Viridiplantae, Streptophyta, Magnoliopsida, Magnoliales, Magnoliaceae.